GCAUGUGUAAGUACAAACCUCUGUGAAGGUGAAACUGCGAAUGGCUCAUUACAACAGCUAUGAUUUACUAGAUCGUACUUUACUACUUGGAUAACUGUGGUAAUUCUAGAGCUAAUACAUGCAGCAGAGCUCCGACCCCUCGGGGAACGAGCGCUUUUAUUAGACCAAGACCAAUCGGGCCUCGUGCCCGUUCUCUGUGGCGACUCUGUGUAACUUUGGGCUGAUCGCACGGGCUUGUCCCGGCGACGCAUCUUUCAAGUGUCUGCCUUAUCAACUGUCGAUGGUAGGUUAUGUGCCUACCAUGGUCGUAACGGGUAACGGGGAAUCAGGGUUCGAUUCCGGAGAGGGAGCCUGAGAAACGGCUACCACAUCCAAGGAAGGCAGCAGGCGCGUAAAUUACCCACUCCCGACUCGGGGAGGUAGUGACGAAAAAUAACAAUACGGGACUCUUAUGAGACCCCGUAAUUGGAAUGAGUACACUCUAAAUCCUUUAACGAGGAUCUAUUAGAGGGCCAGUCUGGUGCCAGCAGCUGCGGUAAUUCCAGCUCUAAUAGCGUAUAUUAAAGUUGUUGCGGUUAAAAAGCUCGUAGUUGGAUCUCAGUUCCAGACGGGCGGUCUACCUUUUGGUGGCUACUGUCCGGCCUGAACAACUAGCCGGUUUCCCUAGAUGAUCUUCACCGGUUGUCUUUGGUGACCGACACGUUUACUUUGAAAAAAUUAGAGUGCUCAAAGCAGGCGCGACGCCUGAAUAAUGGUGCAUGGAAUAAUGGAAUAGGACCUCGGUUCUAUUUUGUUGGUUUUAGGAACACGAGGUAAUGAUUAAGAGGGACAGACGGGGGCAUUCGUAUUGCGACGCUAGARGGWRAAA
This 868-nucleotide ribosomal RNA is filed under the name Aprusia sp. Oon226. Its description in RNAcentral is "SSU rRNA". Lineage: Eukaryota; Metazoa; Arthropoda; Arachnida; Araneae; Oonopidae. The record is from RNAcentral.